GGAGGCGCUACGGCGAGGCUCCA
RNAcentral lists this unclassified non-coding RNA (23 nucleotides) under synthetic construct. The record is from RNAcentral.